GAUUAACGUUGGCGGCGUGCCUAACACAUGCAAGUCGAACGAUCACUUCGGUGAUAGUGGCGCACGGGUGCGUAACGCGUGGGAAUCUGCCCUUGGGUUCGGAAUAACUUCGGGAAACUGAAGCUAAUACCGGAUGAUGACGUAAGUCCAAAGAUUUAUCGCCCAAGGAUGAGCCCGCGUAGGAUUAGCUAGUUGGUGGGGUAAAGGCCCACCAAGGCGACGAUCCUUAGCUGGUCUGAGAGGAUGAUCAGCCACACUGGGACUGAGACACGGCCCAGACUCCUACGGGAGGCAGCAGUGGGGAAUAUUGGACAAUGGGCGAAAGCCUGAUCCAGCAAUGCCGCGUGAGUGAUGAAGGCCUUAGGGUUGUAAAGCUCUUUUACCCGGGAUGAUAAUGACAGUACCGGGAGAAUAAGCUCCGGCUAACUCCGUGCCAGCCGCCGCGGUAA
Molecule: ribosomal RNA, 449 nt
Filed under: uncultured bacterium
Lineage: Bacteria
Description: partial 16S ribosomal RNA
Rfam family: Bacterial small subunit ribosomal RNA
Source: RNAcentral